GUUCUGCGGUGAUGAAUUAUGGAUUAAAUUCACAUGUCAGACUUCAGAGAUUGUAAAAAAUCAAUGAGAAUGAAACUUCCUAGCGUCUGAGCAGAUU
Small nucleolar RNA from Rosa rugosa (rugosa rose), 97 nucleotides. RefSeq annotates it as small nucleolar RNA R64/Z200 family. NCBI's taxonomy places the organism in Eukaryota, Viridiplantae, Streptophyta, Magnoliopsida, Rosales, Rosaceae. The record is from RefSeq and is a predicted model, not a curated record. The transcript has a single exon.